UUAGCGCUCACUCCAGGCCGCAGACUCCGACCGGAACUGACAGCGCAGCCUCCGGGAUUGAAACCAUCCCUGGCUUGAAGUACCCUAAGGAGAUUUGCUAGUUGGAGUCCUGGGAGAUGAGAUGGGGAAGAUGGGCUCAAGCUGCAACAUGAAGGUCCAUGAUGAGCAGCUGGCAUCUCCUACAGUGCCUUCCACUUGGCUCAGAGCCAUGAGAAAUUUGCCUCGAGUCUUAGAUGAGACAUUGGACUUUGGACUUUUAGGUUGAUGCUAGAACAAGGCUCCACUUUGCAUUGCACCAUUAGUGGAAGCUUCCUGUGGCCCUCACCAGAAGCAAAUACUGGUGCCGUACUUCCUGCACAGCCUGAAGAACCAUGGCCAAAUAAACCUCUUUUCUUUAUAAAUUAUCUAGCCUCAGAUAUUCCUUUAUAGCAACAUGAAGAAAACUAAGGCAUUACAUAAGGUUUGUUAUUCAUUAUAGAACUCUUUUUUUAUAUUGGUUGAUACAUCAAAUGGAGUGAAAACAUCAACUGAAAUAGGAAUAGACUUCCUAUAUUAUU
Pongo pygmaeus (Bornean orangutan) is the source of this 557-nucleotide long non-coding RNA. RefSeq lists it as uncharacterized. The record is from RefSeq and is a predicted model, not a curated record. Lineage: Eukaryota; Metazoa; Chordata; Mammalia; Primates; Hominidae. The transcript is spliced from 4 exons.